GGUGGCUCAGUGGUAGAGUGCGUGCCUUGCGUGCAUGAGUCCUUGGGUUCAAUCCUCAGCACCA
RNAcentral lists this transfer RNA (64 nucleotides) under Dipodomys ordii (Ord's kangaroo rat). It matches the Rfam family "tRNA". Rfam says of the family: Transfer RNA (tRNA) molecules are approximately 80 nucleotides in length. Their secondary structure includes four short double-helical elements and three loops (D, anti-codon, and T loops). Further hydrogen bonds mediate the characteristic L-shaped molecular structure. tRNAs have two regions of fundamental functional importance: the anti-codon, which is responsible for specific mRNA codon recognition, and the 3' end, to which the tRNAs corresponding amino acid is attached (by aminoacyl-tRNA synthetases). tRNAs cope with the degeneracy of the genetic code in two manners: having more than one tRNA (with a specific anti-codon) for a particular amino acid; and 'wobble' base-pairing, i.e. permitting non-standard base-pairing at the 3rd anti-codon position. Lineage: Eukaryota; Metazoa; Chordata; Mammalia; Rodentia; Heteromyidae. The record is from Rfam by way of RNAcentral.